UACAGAGGUCCCGAGCGUUGUUCGGAUUCACUGGGCGUAAAGGGUGCGUAGGUGGCGAUGAAAGUUCGAUGUGAAAUCUCCGGGCUUAACCCGGAAAAGGCAUUGAAAACUAUGUUGCUUGAGGUUUGGAGGGGGGACUGGAAUUCUUGGUGUAGCAGUGAAAUGCGUAGAUAUCAAGAGGAACACCAGUGGCGAAGGCGGGUCCCUGGACAACACCUGACACUGAGGCACGAAAGCGUGGGGAGCAAACAGG
This 253-nucleotide ribosomal RNA is filed under the name uncultured bacterium. RNAcentral's name for it is "partial 16S ribosomal RNA". It matches the Rfam family "Bacterial small subunit ribosomal RNA", at positions 524 to 776 of the family's 1533-position model. The record is from RNAcentral.